This 254-nucleotide ribosomal RNA is filed under the name uncultured bacterium. RNAcentral describes it as "partial 16S ribosomal RNA". It matches the Rfam family "Bacterial small subunit ribosomal RNA", at positions 524 to 776 of the family's 1533-position model. The record is from RNAcentral.
CACGUAGGGUGCGAGCGUUGUCCGGAAUUAUUGGGCGUAAAGAGCUCGUAGGCGGUGUGUCGCGUCGGCCGUGAAAACCUGCAGCUUAACUGUGGGCUUGCGGUCGAUACGGGCAUCACUGGAGUUCGGCAGGGGAGACUGGAAUUCCCGGUGUAGCGGUGAAAUGCGUAGAUAUCGGGAGGAAUACCUAUGGCGAAGGCAGGUUACUGGGCCAUCACUGACGCUGAGCUGCGAAAGCUAGGGGAGCAAACAGG